Molecule: long non-coding RNA, 2160 nt
Organism: Pezoporus occidentalis (night parrot)
Lineage: Eukaryota; Metazoa; Chordata; Aves; Psittaciformes; Psittacidae
Exons: 3
Source: RefSeq, a predicted model, not a curated record
AGAUUCAGCUUAUAUAUUUUACUGAGGCUAGGCUGGAUGCUAACCUUGGGCAGUGGAGGAGGGGAGGAAGGAAGGCAGACUGCUGGGAAUGCACCAUACUGGUAUCUUAUAUCAUCCCAAAGGAUCACCAGAGUUUUAUGAAAGGAUUCUUUUGUAGUCCUAUUAGCAGCAAUACAAACACUCUCAGAAGCAAGAUAUAAGUCAACGGAGCAAUUUCUCAACAAGUUUUAUAAGGACAAAGGAACAGAAGUGUGGAAAGAAGCACAAUCAGAAGAAUUUAUUAAUAGGAAAUAGUCUCAGCUACUUUUUAAAGCCUCUUGUUAAAUCAAGCACAAAGUCCUUGAUGGAGGGAAGGGGAAAUAGCUGGAAGAUGGCUGAUGAUCUGCUUUAGGAUGACUCAUUCAAUAUGAGCAAUUAUGAAUCAUGAACAAACUAUCUACAGGCAGCACACAUAAGACUUAAUAUCUUCCAUGUUACUAGAUGCUUCUAAUGUUUAGCAUUAGUGUUGCUUUUUUCUUAAGAGCAGAAAGGUUCACAAUAUGGUAUUGAAGAAUCACUGAUUUAAAAGUUGCACAGAAAUGUUUGGGAUGCUAAUUACCAGUUACCAUUGCACAGGGGUUUAGCCAAUUUUUUCAGGUUCUUCUGUAUGUAACUUCAGAAUUCUUUAAAAUAACAGAGAAAAUGUUAAAAAAUGUUAAAGUUUAUCCCUGGGCAACAUAUUAUUACUCCUUGUGCAUGUGCCCAUUGCAUGUUUGAACUUUGUGAUGCACUGUUUCAGCUACAUCAGCUGCUGUAGCCAGUAGCAGGGUGUUCUACUAAAUGUUACUAGAUGGUGAAGGGACAGUGGCAGAGUGGGAGAGCAGCUCAGUAGGAUUUACAAGUGUUGCUAAUAAGAGAGAAAUUAUGAGAUUUAAAAACCUUCAGGUUUAUAAUGGCUCCAGCAUGGAGCAUCCAGUAAUGGUAAUAGGAAAGUACACACAUAUAUUUGAUUUCUAUUGCUGUUCCAAUCUCUCUUUGUUCUAGUACAAUGUACUUUGACAUCCAAGCAAUCCAUUUAAUUUCUCAGCCUAGCCUUUGUGGUUUUGCUCAGGCAGACCUUUUUUUUCCUGAUGUUGCUUUCUGGCACUAAUCCCAUAGUUUCCCAGCCAUUCUGGUACUACCUGUCUUGGUCCAGGCUCUUUUGCCUCACCCUCUACUCCCUUUUUAGUUUCUUCAUUCAGAUUUUUGCUCUACUUUGCUCUCCUGCCUCUUCAUUCACAUUCUUCUUUACUCUGGCUCCCCAUCUCCCUCCUUCAGGUCUCAUUUUCAAUCUUCACCUGGCAAUCAGCCUCGCUCACUGUCCCAGUCUACUUGUCCAGUCAGUCUUAUCUCAAAAGGCUGUAUAUGCUGGCUCUAUAUACAGGCUGAGUGGCCUAUAUUCUUGGCUGUUAUCAAACCUGCCUGAGCUGUCCUAUUACUUUCCUAUUCUCUUUACUUUUUAUUUUGAGUUCAUUUGCUGAAGGUAUCUGUUUUUGGUUGUUUCUACCUUGAAGUCAUUCUCCCCCAGUGAACUGAUUCCCAGGCCUCCAUUUUUCUUGCUAACUUCUUGUCCCUAGUUCAACCAAUCUUCCUUUUUAUUAAUCCUUGUUUCCAUUUACGAACCCAGUCUCCAUAUCACCACAUUCCUUGCUCCAGAUUUUCUUUCCUCUUUACCUCCAUACACUGCCUCGUAUUUCACCUGCAUUUAAAUCCUGCAGCUUCUUGUGACAUUUUGAGUGCCAACAGGAUAGUCUUGGAGAAGGUAGCUUAUCUUACACAGUUACUUUUCCACAAGGAUCCCUCUCCUGCUGCGUACCCAGCUCAAUUAAUACAAUUCUUAACCCAUUCCCUGAAUGCACAUGAGUUACCUCAAAUGAAGAGGGCAACUGGGAACAGGCUCCAUGAGCUUCCUGAGUGACCUCUUAUCUCAGACAAUCCUGAAGAACAUAGGAUUCAACUUUGGUGGAUGUGCUUGCAAUGCAUAUGUGAUAAAACUAGUACUUGUACUCUGAAUACAGUAAGUGUCUCAAACAUGCUCAAUUGCUUGCAUGGGAGUGGCUGAGUCGUGCAGUGUCCCUGAUACUGAAAGGAACUACCAACAAAAAUGUUGUUGUAGCACUUCUGAAAUAAAUUAUGGUUUCA